This 1210-nucleotide long non-coding RNA is filed under the name Heterocephalus glaber (naked mole-rat). RNAcentral describes it as "lncRNA (ENSHGLG00000033868.1)". Lineage: Eukaryota; Metazoa; Chordata; Mammalia; Rodentia; Bathyergidae. The record is from RNAcentral.
GUAAACUUUUUAUUUAAUUAUCUUUUAUAUAAAAUAAUUCGAGAUUAUAGAUUAAAAAGAAAAUAUGUUGAAACUCUUAAUUCUCUUCUUUGUUGAAAAGCUAUUCCUUGCUUUAUAUUUUGAAAUUCCUUUUCAUUUUGAGGAUUUGAUUUGUUUCAAUAAAUCAAAAGAUUAAAAUAAGCUUUCUGGGAUAGGAAGUAGUACACUACAAUUACAGAAUUUAGAACAAAUUAUUUUUCAAUACUUUGUACAUUACAGUUCCAAUAAAGAACAGUGACUGCUCUCAUCAUCUAUUUAUUUAUGUUCCUUUGGAGAAAUUCUUUCUCUGAGAUUUCUGCACUGAAGUGUAAUUUGUAAUUUAAAAAUAAGGCAUGUUACUCAAACUGCAUUCCUUCUUUCCUUGUAUCUCUUCUCUUCUUUCCAUCUUAAUUCUGUUUUUCAAAGGCUUCCUCUGCUUAUCUGUCAUGUUCUCCUUUCCCAAAUACUAUUCUUUUUAUAAAAUACUCCAUAUAGCUACCAUCUGCUUCCUCCUCUACUUUUUGUAAUGUUCCUGACUGAAACUGCUUAUGCACAGAAUCAUAAGCUUUUAGAACUCAAAGAUAUUUCAUGCACUGCUGUAUGCGACCACACGUCAGGCCAACUCCUGGACAGACAGUGGACGUAGCACACGGUCUCUGCUCCCAUGAGCCCAACAGCUGGAUUGCGGACAUAGCAGAAACAAAAAAAUAAGAAAGACAAAAAAGGGAAAAGAAAACUCUGUGUCCCUAAACAUCACAGGAAAACCUCGUGAGAAGAUAUGUGGACUGCUCAGAGACACAUUUCAUGAGGCUCCUCAGAAGUACUGAGCAACGUAGGUCCAAGACUGUGGCCAAUACAUACCCUUCUGUCAACUUCUCUCCCUUCCUUGCCUCAUUUCUCUUAUGUUUCUUUCACUUCUGAGCUUUGAGACCAUUUCCUAAAAAACUGCUUAUAAGUAGGGCUUUUUUCUAAGUUUUACUUCAGGAAACAUUCACAGUGACACCUCUCAACUGAAAGAUUGGUUAUAGAGGCCAGAAAGAUGAGGAAAUUCGUCAAGGAGCUACAGUGAAGACUAGAAACAAUACAUCCUGACAUAUUUUUAGUGCAUUUGCCACCGCACCAUAAAUUCUCUCCACAUUAUUGUUUGGCUCAGCUUAUAAUGUUAUUUAUGUACUAAGUGUUUUGGUUAUUA